GUCUUACUCAAAAUAAAUAUAGUCUAAAAAUUGAAUCGUUCUCACAAAACAGUUUGGAAAAAUCAUCUUCUCCGGUCUCUCUGUCAAAACUCCAAAUUCGCUCUCCUCUCUCAUCUUCCUUCCAUUUCCUUUCAUCAAGUUUUCAACAUCAAUCAAUCCACCACAACAGUAACAAUCAGUUUUUUUUAUUAUGGAUGGAGAGGGGACCCACGACACCAUCUCCAGGGGGCCUGAUCCGUUCCACUCUAUCAAUUCGGACGGUGGUGACGCCUCUCCGUCACAGUAUUCCUCAUGCGGAGAAUCGGAGUUCGAGCGAUACUGCAGCGCCAAUUCAGUUAUGGGCACACCUAGCUGUAGUAGCUCAUUUGGAGCCUCUUUUAAUGAUUGUAUAGAGUCUGAUCUUGGGUCUUUGAAAAGUUUAGAUGAUUUUGGGUUUGAUGGUAAUAGGAACUUGGAGGAUAGAAAGCUUUUGAAUUCGGUUAUUGAUCGUUUAGAUGGCAGUUUUGAAGAGAAUGAGACUGGUAGGUUGGGAAUUUGUGGAGCAAGUAGUAAUGAAUUGAACAGUAGGAUUUGGGAGAUUGGGAAAGGGGAUUUGGGUCGAGUUGGUUGUGGAGAGAAUGAAGAUUGUCAAAGUGGGUUGGAUGUAGAGGUAGAUUUGGGAUUUGAUGGAGGUAAAGAUGGGGGUUCGUCUAGAUAUGGAUAUUCGGAAGAUGAUGAUUCCAUUUGUGGGUGUGGUUCGGAUGAUGAGAAAAGGAAGAAUUUGUAUUUUAGGAGGAAUGUGUUGCUUGGUGAGGAAGGGAAAGUAGGUGGUGAGAAUCCGUUGCUUAUGGGUUCGUCUGUGGCUUUUGGGUCGGAAGAUUGGGAUGAUUUUGAGCUAGAAACUGGGGGGGGCAUUGGAGCUUCUUUGACCUUGGAUAAAUUUCAGCAGCAGGAGCAUGGUCUGGCGACUGAUGGAAACUUUUUCAGUUCUAUUCCUGUGGUUUCAACUGUAGCACCUGUUAUUGGUGACGCAGAAAUAGGGGAAGAUGUGACUGAGGAACAUGCUGGCAUUGAAGACAGUGAAGGUGAUGAUUUGGGAGAGAAGCUCAAUUCCGGUACUGAGAUCCCUUAUGGUGUACGGAAUUCUAUUGGGGAUCUAGUGGAAGACAUGAGAGACAUUUCUGUACUCAGUUGUCAGGUACAAGGUGCUCGUGAAUUGGCCAAAGAUGAUAAAAGUUCUUCGAUCAUGCCAUUUGGUUUUCCAGGCUAUUGCGAACCACAGCAAGAAGAUGCUAGAGACAUUUCUCUUAACUGCAAUCAAGCCCAAGGUAGUAACGACACAACAGAGCUUUACAACAGUUGUCCUGUCAGCGACUUCUUUGAGGUGGAGCAGGAACCUCUCGUAGAAAUAACCCCCGUAAGGUUAGGAUUGAAUUUUACAGAUCCUUACAUGGAAGGUCUGAAUCCAUGUGUGAAAUCCGAGGAAAUUGUUUGUACCGAUGAUAAAAAAGCUUUGGAAAAUGAAGAGGCUGGGAAUUUUGAAGUAGAGGCAGAUCCCCUUUCUGAUACAACUAAUCAACUUCAUUUCUGCGCAGUUGAAUACUCAGAAAAUGCAAGUGCAGAAUCCCUUGUGACCCAAAAAUUAAAUUCAACUCUGCCAAUGCUUGAAAAUAACAUGAAAAAAGCAUCAGAGAAUGCUCCUGGUUCUGUGAUUCUUUAUGAAGACCAUUCUGCAGUGGUUAAGGCAGAGAAUUUUGAGCUUAUUGAAUUUUACGAUGAGAUUGUCAAUGAAAUGGAAGAAAUUUUACUUGACUCCGGUGAGUCUCCAGGGGCUAGAUUUCCUCAGGGUAAUCAUUUGUUUCAGCCACAGCUAUUACUGCCGCUAAGAGAUGGUGGGCCAACUGCUUCUACUUCUGGUACCAACGAGGCUUACCCGCUAAUUACACAUCCAAAGAGAAUUGAUAGGGUUGAAGUGGUAGGAGCAAAGCAGAAGAAAGGAGAUGUCUCCCUUAGUGAAAGAUUGGUUGGAGUGAAGGAAUACACCAUGUAUAUAAUAAGGGUAUGGAGUGGCAAAGACCAGUGGGAGGUUGAACGCAGGUAUCGUGAUUUCCAUACGCUCUAUCGCAGGCUGAAAUCAUUAUUUGCUGACCAGGGCUGGACUCUUCCUUCUCCUUGGUCCUCUGUGGAAAAGGAAUCUAGAAAAAUAUUCGGGAAUGCAUCUCCAGAUGUUGUUUCUGAGAGAAGUGUUCUUAUUAAGGAGUGUUUACAUUCAACUAUCCAUUCUGGGUUCUUUUCCAGUCCCCCAAGUGCACUGGUUUGGUUCUUGUGUCCUCAAGGUUCAUUUCCUAGUUCCCCUGCAGCAAGAAUGCCAGUUGCUCGGUCUAUAUUUUCUAACAAAGGGGCAGAUGCAGGAAAUAUUUCCACUUUAGGGAAGACAAUAUCACUUAUUGUUGAAAUCCAGCCACACAAAUCUACUAAACAGAUGCUAGAAGUGCAACAUUAUACUUGUGCUGGAUGCCACAAGCAUUUUGAUGAUGGUAUGACAUUAAUGCAGGACUUUGUACAGACACUUGGGUGGGGAAAGCCUCGGCUUUGCGAGUAUACUGGUCAGUUAUUUUGUUCUUCAUGCCACACAAACGAGACUGCAGUUUUGCCAGCAAGAGUUCUACAUUAUUGGGAUUUUAAUCAAUACCCAGUUUCUCAUCUGGCCAAGUCAUACUUGGAUUCCAUCCAUGAGCAGCCCAUGCUUUGUGUAAGCGCAGUCAAUCCUCUCUUAUUCUCCAAGGUCCCAGCCUUGCACCAUAUUAUGGGUGUCAGGAAAAAAAUUGGAACUAUGCUUCAAUAUGUUCGAUGUCCAUUCCGCAGGACCAUCAACAAAGUACUCGGUUCUCGAAGAUAUCUUCUUGAAAGCAAUGAUUUUUUUCCCCUUAGAGACCUCAUAGAUCUCUCAAAAGGGGCAUUUGCAGCACUACCGGUGAUGGUGGAAACUGUUUCAAGGAAAAUUCUGGAGCAUAUAACAGAGCAAUGUCUCAUAUGCUGCGAUGUGGGAGUCCCCUGCAGUGCCCGACAAGCUUGUAAUGAUCCAUCUUCCCUCAUAUUCCCUUUUCAGGAAGGUGAAAUUGAAAGGUGUGCUUCUUGCGGAUCAGUAUUCCACAAGCCCUGCUUCAGAAAGCUUACAAAUUGCUCUUGUGGGACACGCCUUAGUGCAGAUCAGGUCAUGGAGUCUACCAAUAUGUUGAGCCGUAAGGCCAGUGGUUUCGUGCUGGGAAGGAGAUCGGGCUCUAGUUUGCAUCUGGGAUUGCUCUCUGGACUAUUUUCGAAGGCACAUCCAGAAAAAAUGAAGGACGAAGAUACUAUUAUCUUAAUGGGUUCUUUGCCAACCACUUCUCUUUAAUCACCUGUGAUUGUAAUUUGCCUUUUGUAUAUUGUCUUGAUUGUAAAGCGGGAGUUCAUUGUACCACUUGGCACCUUGAGUUUUUGGCUGAACAAGCGGACGUAGCCUAUAUCAUUGCAUUGUAUGAAGAGUUUCGACGUUGGUUUGACCAAAUCACCAGAGGGGCUCAGGAGUUUAGAUAGUAGUAGAGGGAGAUGAAGCUUGUUGGGGUUUAUCAUUGGUGCUAUUUUUCUGUUGAGCCUGGAGGUUCUGAUGCUUGAUGUUAGCUAUCAUCUGAGUCAGAACUCAGAAGGUGGCGAUGGCAUUCAUAGUUGCUUGGGACCAAAAGGAGGAGAAAACUGUAUAUUAGGUGCCCAAUCUUUGAUUUUAUUUACGUUUGAGUGCUUCACCUUUAACUUUAUCUAUUUGAAAUACGAAAAUUUACGUGUAUUUUAUGUUAAUCAGUUUUUUUUCA
Molecule: RNA transcript, 3827 nt
Organism: Populus nigra (black poplar)
Lineage: Eukaryota; Viridiplantae; Streptophyta; Magnoliopsida; Malpighiales; Salicaceae
Exons: 6
Source: RefSeq, a predicted model, not a curated record